AAUGAACGCUGGCGGCGCGCCUAAUACAUGCAAGUCGAGCGAGAAGACGUAGCAAUACGUUUGUAAAGCGGCGAACGGGUGAGGAAUACAUGGGUAACCUACCCUAGAGUGGGGAAUAACUAGCCGAAAGGUUAGCUAAUACCGCGUACGCUCCUUGGACUUCGGUUCAGGGAGGAAAGCGAUGCCGAGGGUAUCGCGCUCUUGGAUGGGCUCAUGUCCUAUCAGCUUGUUGGGAGGUAACGGCUCACCAAGGCUUCGACGGGUAGCUGGUCUGAGAGGACGAUCAGCCACACUGGCACUGCGACACGGGCCAGACUCCUACGGGAGGCAGCAGUAAGGAAUAUUGCGCAAUGGGCGAAAGCCUGACGCAGCGACGCCGCGUGGGGGAUGAAGGUCUUCGGAUUGUAAACCCCUUUCGGGAGGGAAGAUGGAAUGGGGUAACCCGAUUCGGACGGUACCUCCAGAAGCAGCCACGGCUAACUUCGUGCCAGCCGCCGCA
This 499-nucleotide ribosomal RNA is filed under the name uncultured bacterium. Its description in RNAcentral is "bacterial SSU rRNA". It matches the Rfam family "Bacterial small subunit ribosomal RNA", at positions 29 to 519 of the family's 1533-position model. The record is from RNAcentral.